GACGAACGCUGGCGGCGUGCUUAACACAUGCAAGUCGAACGGAAAGGCCCUGCUUUUGUGGGGUGCUCGAGUGGCGAACGGGUGAGUAACACGUGAGUAACCUGCCCUUGACUUUGGGAUAACUUCAGGAAACUGGGGCUAAUACCGGAUAGGAGCUCCUGCUGCAUGGUGGGGGUUGGAAAGUUUCGGCGGUCGGGGAUGGACUCGCGGCUUAUCAGCUUGUUGGUGGGGUAGUGGCUUACCAAGGCUUUGACGGGUAGCCGGCCUGGGAGGGUGACCGGCCACAGUGGGACUGAGAUACGGCCCCGACUCCUACGGGAGGCAGCAGUGGGGAAUAUUACACAAUGGGCGGGAGCCUGAUGCAGCAACGCCGCGUGCGGGAUGACGGCCUUCGGGUUGUAAACCGCUUUCGCCUGUGACGAAGCGUGAGUGACGGUAAUGGGUAAAGAAGCACCGGCUAACUACGUG
Molecule: ribosomal RNA, 468 nt
Filed under: uncultured bacterium
Lineage: Bacteria
Description: partial 16S ribosomal RNA
Rfam family: Bacterial small subunit ribosomal RNA
Source: RNAcentral